GGUUUGAAACCAGACCCUUUUCCACAUUUUACUUAUUAUUACUAUAAAAGCAAUAGAAACCAGAGAUUUUCCUUCCCAUAACUCUCAGUUCGCCAUCUCCUGAGUCUGCCCUUCCUUUCAGUCCAGAAGCUUGAGUCCGUCUCCGUCACCGUUCAGCAGAAAUGGCCGACCAAAAAUAUGGUUAUCCCUACCCUGCUCAAGGGGGUUAUCCCCCUCAAGGAGGUUAUUACCAAGGCCCUCCAGUAGUGGCACCUCCACAGUAUGCUGCUCCUCCACCCAGGAGAGAACCAGGUUUCCUCGAGGGAUGUCUUGCGGCUUUGUGUUGCUGCUGCCUAAUUGACGAGUGUUGCUGCGAUCCUUCUAUCCUCUGUUUCUUUUAGAAUUAAUAUGUAUCCAUUGGAUAAUUCCACUACCAUAUAUUGUGUAUAAGUGUAAUGCUUCUUGAUUGCUAAUUUUAUUUAAUUCGGUAGAAUUUAUGUACAAGACUACUAGUUGUUUCUGUUCUGCAAUCUGUGUGGUAUCCAAAAUAGUUAUAUAUCUUCUUCAUUCACCA
Malus domestica (apple) is the source of this 553-nucleotide long non-coding RNA. RefSeq lists it as uncharacterized. The record is from RefSeq and is a predicted model, not a curated record. NCBI's taxonomy places the organism in Eukaryota, Viridiplantae, Streptophyta, Magnoliopsida, Rosales, Rosaceae.